RNAcentral lists this ribosomal RNA (467 nucleotides) under uncultured bacterium. RNAcentral's name for it is "partial 16S ribosomal RNA". It matches the Rfam family "Bacterial small subunit ribosomal RNA", at positions 28 to 507 of the family's 1533-position model. The record is from RNAcentral.
GACGAACGCUGGCGGCGUGCUUAACGCAUGCAAGUCGAACGGAAAGGCCUCUUUCGGGGGGUACUCGAGUGGCGAACGGGUGAGUAACACGUGAGUAACCUGCCCUUGACUUUGGGAUAACUUCAGGAAACUGGGGCUAAUACCGGAUAGGAGCUCCUGCUGCAUGGUGGGGGUUGGAAAGUUUCGGCGGUUGGGGAUGGACUCGCGGCUUAUCAGCUUGUUGGUGGGGUAGUGGCUUACCAAGGCUUUGACGGGUAGCCGGCCUGAGAGGGUGACCGGCCACAUUGGGACUGAGAUACGGCCCAGACUCCUACGGGAGGCAGCAGUGGGGAAUAUUGCACAAUGGGUGGAAGCCUGAUGCAGCAACGCCGUGUGCGGGAUGACGGCCUUCGGGUUGUAAACCGCUUUCGCCCAUGACGAAGCUUUGUGUGACGGUAGUGGGUAAAGAAGCACCGGCUAACUACGUG